AUCCUACGGGACGCAGCAGUAGGGAAUUUUCGUCAAUGGGCGCAAGCCUGAACGAGCAAUGCCGCGUGAGGGAAGAAGGUACAGCGUAUCGUAAACCUCUUUUGUCAGGGAACAAAGGCGGGGACUAGUCCCCGGAUGAGGGUACCUGAAGAAAAAGCAUCGGCUAACUCCGUGCCAGCAGCCGCGGUAAUACGGAGGAUGCGAGCGCUAUCCGGAUUUAUUGGGUUUAAAG
This 232-nucleotide ribosomal RNA is filed under the name uncultured bacterium. RNAcentral describes it as "partial 16S ribosomal RNA". It matches the Rfam family "Bacterial small subunit ribosomal RNA", at positions 335 to 565 of the family's 1533-position model. The record is from RNAcentral.